Molecule: long non-coding RNA, 1093 nt
Filed under: Cavia porcellus (domestic guinea pig)
Lineage: Eukaryota; Metazoa; Chordata; Mammalia; Rodentia; Caviidae
Description: lncRNA (ENSCPOG00000033766.1)
Source: RNAcentral
CGUGGGACGUUCUGGGUCUUUAAGUGCUGCGGGUUCUAGCAGAGCGGUCUUUUCGCUACAGUGACCGUGAGUGUUGUCUGUGUAUGUGAGCGACGAGGGCCGAUAAAGAUCUAGAUUUUUUUUUUUUUUUUUUUAACCACUUUACCCAGGUGUUUUUAGAGAAAUUUAGCUAAAUGGAGGAGUCCGGGCGAGAGUUGCGAUUCAGUGUUCCAUAUUUUUCUAGGGCCGCGUUGUGUAGAAUGCUGCGAGCUGCGACUCACAUACCGCAUGUUUCUCGGCGGAGCCACCGCCGCAGGAGUGUGAGGUUUGCGGAGAGCAGCUUUCUGUUUCUGCACCCUCCAGGAGGAGUGCACAGACCUGAAAAGCUGGAUGUCGGACUCAGUGCAGAAUAUUGAAGAUGGGAGCAGCAUCUCAUGAAGUCGGGUUGCAGACUGUCAGGAUACCAACAGCGUUGUAUCACUGGCCCCUUAAGUCACCUGGAGGGCUGCUGGACAAAGGCUGCAGUGGCAAAUUUUUGCUCAAAACCUGUUAGAGAACUGGCUUUGGAUCAGGUUUUGGGAUCAGUGCUGGAGUGCAGUUUGAGAGCUGGCAGCAGCACAGCCCAGCAGGAGGUGAAGGAUCUGAAGCUGCUGUUGAUUCUGUUUGAGAAUCUAAAUGGCUGGAAUGUUUGGUGUGGAAGAAACAAGCUGCUCACCUGUGUCAGAGCCCUUCUCAACAGAACUGAUGUCUGGCCAUUUUUUUAGGACAGCGCGGCACACUGAGUCUUUGAUUAAUCUACCCAACAGAGGAGCUUGUGUGUUUUUGGACAAGUUUAUGUUUACAAAUGUUGUUAUUAAAUACUAUUUUAAUAAAGAACAUUCUUUUGUAUUAGAAAUGUAUAUUUGGGAAAAAGUUAAAUUUGACUAUGAUAAGGUAUGAACUUCAUUGAAGUUUGUGAACUUCUGGUCAGUCUUGUCAUUUUAACUGUGGGCCUCAAAGUCAGAAACUCUGAGGCACUUAAAGCAUUUAUACUUGAUUUCAGUGUCUGCUUCUAUUAUCCUUUGCAUGUAAGUGAGGUGGCUCUGUGCAGUACUUGGCACCAGGUAAGGACUUG